This 1142-nucleotide long non-coding RNA is filed under the name Hordeum vulgare. RNAcentral's name for it is "long non-coding RNA (HVUL_LNC001116)". Lineage: Eukaryota; Viridiplantae; Streptophyta; Magnoliopsida; Poales; Poaceae. The record is from RNAcentral.
AUCUCUUUCUCUCACAUCAUGCACAUUCAUUCAGGAUGAUAGGUACAAUAUGGAUAACUCGAAAAACAAACUAAAAAUUUCAAUAUGAUGUGCAGAAAGAAAUUGUUCAGAAUUGCAAAAGGAGGUGAUCUCAAAGUUAUUUUGCACUAACCACUCAGCUUCUUAACAUCAGGUAAGGUAAUCAAGUACUGUAAUAGAAUUGCCAGAUUAACCCAUUUGUAUCUUUUACAAAUGAAAACAGUAGUACUUUCCCGUAUCAAAUGACACUCUUAUCAGACAUGCCGGCUAUCUGGAUAGAUGAAACAUCAAUAGUUAGUUUUUUGUUCUUGUGAAUUAGUCUCACAAAAUUAAGAAACAUAAAGUGCAAAAGAAAUAAAUUCAGUUUUUCUGUUGCGUGAGAAAAAGGAAAGAACACAUAAACAAUAUGGCUGUUCUCACCUUGCUGAUUUGAAACCCCAUCUCUUCAGUGUGCAGAAUCAAUGUAGACGAUCCGUAGCAACACCAAGAAUCGGUGUCCAGAAUCAGUAUACGCGAUCUGCAGCAGCACCAGUCGUUUAGACAAGUAUGUAUCCAAUUAUCCACCAUAUUUAACAUUACAAUCAACAAAAACAAAAAAGUAACUCAGGAAUCCGCAAGUACGAAUAGGUAGAGUGAGAUGAUCGAUCUCAUGUAUCAGCUGAGAGUGCAAACAAAAGAUUCAGUUGCAGGUCUUGAUAACUAUGAAAGUCUAGGAUUCAGCAAUCGGUUGUGUGAAUUUUGUUUUGCAACCCAGUGCGUGAAGGUUUGAAGCCCUGAAUCAAAGAUAAGCACUAAAACAAACUGAUCUAAGCAAUAGAAAUAAAACAAAAAAUAUGUUUCGUCCGAUGAAGAGCUGCAACAUGACUAUAGAGCGGAUGCCAAAAUCCAAACCUCAACUUUGCAUCACCGACAAGAGCAAAGAGAUCUUCUUGUCUAGGAAGCUCGUCCUCGUGCACCAUCAAUUCCUCACUGAAUAUAACAAAUUGAUCCAACAAGUUAGUGAUCCUAAAAGAUUAACACAACAAUCUUUGAGGCAAUAACACAAGCACCUUGUGCAACGGAGAGUGAUGGAGGUGUCAAAGGGCCAAGGGGGAGCGCGCCAGUGCUGCGUGGGGGCAGCGGGG